RNAcentral lists this ribosomal RNA (1662 nucleotides) under Triticum aestivum (bread wheat). RNAcentral describes it as "partial small subunit ribosomal RNA". The record is from RNAcentral. Lineage: Eukaryota; Viridiplantae; Streptophyta; Magnoliopsida; Poales; Poaceae.
AUGAAGGGUUUUGAUGAGGCCUGGCGACGCCAGGUAGAAUCCUUUACGCAAAAAGGUAGUGUUGGAAUUAAAGUAAAUGAUGAUAUAGGUCAUUAUUUUCAGACACACAAAGGCCUGAGGCAAGGAGACCCAAUGUCCCCUAUAUUGUUCAACAUUGUAGUUGAUAUGUUGGCCAUUCUCAUAGGCAGGGCAAAGAACGCCGGUCAGGUAGGUGGCUUGGUGCCUAACCUAGUUGAUGGGGGUGUAUCCAUAUUGCAGUACGCUGAUGAUACAAUCAUCUUCAUGGAGCAUGACCUGGCAAAAGCAAGAAACAUGAAGCUGGUGUUGUGUUUAUUUGAACAAUUGUCCGGUUUAAAGAUUAACUUUCAUAAAAGCGAGUUGUUCUGCUUUGGUAGAGCCAAGGAGGAACAAGAGGCUUAUAGACAAUUGUUUGGUUGUGAAUCAGGGGCCUUACCUUUUACUUACCUGGGUAUACCCAUUCAUCAUCGUAAGCUCACGAACAGAGAGUGGAAAUGUAUCGAAGAUCGGUUCGAAAAGAAACUUAGUUGUUGGAAGGGCAAACUUCUGUCUUAUGGAGGCCGGUUAAUUCUUAUUAAUUCGGUGCUCACAAGUUUGCCGAUGUUCCUACUAUCUUUCUUUGAGGUUCCAGUUGGGGUCAGGAAAAGGCUGGACUUCUAUCGGUCAAGAUUUUUUUGGCAGAGCAAUGAUCUUAAGAGAAAGUAUAGACUCACCAAGUGGGAUAUUAUUUGUCGUCCCAAGGAUCAGGGGGGGUUGGGUAUCAAGAAUCUUGAGAUCAAGAACAGAUUCCUGCUUAGUAAGUGGCUAUAUAAGUUAUCAGUUGGGACUGAUGCAACUUGGGCACAGAUACUUCGUAACAAGUAUCUGCAAUCCAAAACCUUGUCACAGGUGACAAUGAGACCAACUGAUUCGCCAUUUUGGAAGGGGCUUAUGAGAGUUAAGUCAGCCUUCUUUAACAGAACAAAGUUUAUAGUCGGAGCUGGUAACGAUACUCGCUUCUGGGAGGACACUUGGCUUGGUGAGACACCUUUGGCAUUACAGUACCCAUCUCUGUAUCGUAUUGUGAAUCGCCGUGACGCGCUUGUGGCGACGAUUAUGCAGGCCACCCCUCUUAAUAUUCAGUUUAGGAGGGUGCUUGUUGGUAAUAGAUGGGAAGCUUGGCUUCAUCUGGUGCGUAGACUGAUGGAGGUUCAGCUACAACAUCAGCCCGAUCAGUUGUGUUGGAAACUUUCUAGGUCUGGACAAUUUACCGUUAAAUCGAUGUACAUCGAUGUUAUUAACUCGAGUGUCAUUCCUAACUCCAAACAUGUUUGGAAAGUCAAAGUUCCUUUGAAAAUCAAAGUGUUUAUGUGGUUUGUCCAUAAACAGGUUAUUCUAACAAAGGACAACUUGGUUAAGCGCAAUUGGACAGGAUCUACUAGGUGUAGUUUCUGUGAUCGGGAUGAAACCAUUAAGCAUAUAUUCUUUGAGUGCCCGUUGGCAAGGAUUUUGUGGCGCUCAGUGCAAAUUGCUUUUAACAUUACUCCUCCGAGUUCGAUCGGGUCGUUAUUUGGAACGUGGCUGGAUGGGAUAGAGUCCGUUACAGCUAGACACAUUCGUGUAGGAGUGUGCGUUGUUAUGGGCAAUUUGGAACUGCAGAAAUGA